CCUACGGGAGGCUGCAGUGAGGAAUCUUUGUCAAUGGGCGAGAGUCUGAUCCAGCCAAGUAGCGUGAAGGAUGACUGCCCUAUGGGUUGUAAACUUCUUUUAUGUGGGAAUAAAACGUUCCACGUGUGGGAUUUUGUAUGUACCAGAUGAAUAAGGAUCGGCUAACUCCGUGCCAGCAGCCGCGGUAAUACGGAGGAUCCGAGCGUUAUCCGGAUUUAUUGGGUGUAAAGGGAGCGUAGGUGGUUUGUUAAGUCAGUUGUGAAAGUUUGCGGCUCAACCGUAAAAUUGAAGUUGAAACUGGCAGGCUUGAGUACAGGAGAGGUGGGCGGAAUUCGUGGUGUAGCGGUGAAAUGCGUAGAUAUCACGAAGAACCCCGAUUGCGAAGGCAGUUCACUGGACUGCAACUGACACUGAGGCUCGAAAGUGUGGGUAUCAAACAGGAUUAGAUACCCUAGUAGUC
Molecule: ribosomal RNA, 460 nt
Filed under: uncultured bacterium
Lineage: Bacteria
Description: partial 16S ribosomal RNA
Rfam family: Bacterial small subunit ribosomal RNA
Source: RNAcentral